This 73-nucleotide ribosomal RNA is filed under the name Salmonella enterica subsp. enterica serovar Kentucky. Lineage: Bacteria; Pseudomonadati; Pseudomonadota; Gammaproteobacteria; Enterobacterales; Enterobacteriaceae. The record is from RNAcentral.
UCUGGUGACUAUAGCAAGGAGGUCACACCUGUUCCCAUGCCGAACACAGAAGUUAAGCGCCUUAGCGUCGAUG